AGGACGAACGCUGGCGGCGUGGAUUAGGCAUGCAAGUCGCGCGAGAAUCAGCCCUUCGGGGCUGAGGACAGCGGCGAACGGGUGAGUAACACGUGAACAACCUGCCCUCACAUUCCGGACAAUUCACCGAAAGGUGUUGUAAUACGGGCGAGGAUCUCAUCGAGGCAUCUCGAAGAGAAGGAAGGUGCAAGCAUUUAUGUUGCGCCGUGCGAGGUAGGGGUUCGACGGAGCAUCGAGGUAGUUGGGUAGGGUAACGGCCUACAAGCCUACGACGCUUAGCUGGUCUGAGAGGAUGGUCAGACCACUAUUGGAACUGAACGACUACGUGUACCAG
RNAcentral lists this ribosomal RNA (334 nucleotides) under uncultured soil bacterium. RNAcentral's name for it is "bacterial SSU rRNA". It matches the Rfam family "Bacterial small subunit ribosomal RNA", at positions 26 to 334 of the family's 1533-position model. The record is from RNAcentral.